UUGGAUUCUGAUCAUCUGCGUCUGCCAAGUAGCAGUGCGGAGCCAAUACUACUCGGACACCGUACCAUAUCAACCCAGGCCAGUUGUGGUCACCAAUCUUCAUUUCUAUAUGCACGAAUUUACGGGCACUACAGCAGUCGUGCUAACCCAAGCUAACAUCACAAGCAAUAAUACAUCAGUGACAUUUGCCACCCUAGUUGCCGUUAAUGAUCCCCUCAGGACUGGUCCUGAGCCUGACUCAGAGCUGAUUGGAAAUGUUCAGGGUAUUUCCCUCCUAGCCGGAUCAAAUGCAUCGAGCACGCAGUACAUAGAUUUUGGAUUCAAUACCGGUAAGUUUAACGGAAGCUCUCUAAGCGUAUUUUCAAGGGGAGAAGCUGGGCUUGCGGUGGUCGGAGGAAGAGGCCAAUUCGCGAUGGCAACAGGGACUGCACUAUUUAACCCUAUCCUUAUAAAUGCCACCAAUGUCAUCAUUGAAUUUAACGUUACUGUAAUUCAUUACUAAGAUGUUAUUUACAGAGUCAAUCGUCUUGGGUUGUGUGAAAGUCAUAUGAUUAUGCUCCACUUGUUAGAAUAAAUGUAUGAGAAAUAUAUAGGUUUGUAGUAUUAAAAAUUAAAAUUCUCAUACUUGGUCAUUGUACUUUAUCAUUAUACGAGAAAUAAAUAUUAAAUCCUUAGCUACAAAAAUAUAUCUACUCCGUACUUAUCUUCAUCUCUAAUAGAGGUUGGCUUAUGCAAAAUUCGGAAAGUUUAUUGAUAACGAAACAAUUAUUAUAUGGUGUCAAAGUCAAAUAUUACAACAAAAGCAAGUUUCUGGACUAUUUGGCGUUGACUGCAACAAAGCAAUCAUGAAAACUUAAAAAAACCUAAUAUGGGCAUUGGUGUGUUUGAUUCUUUGGCCCUCGACAUGUUUACUUUGCUCUAUAUAUCAUGACAAAUAUAUUCUUGUGUUGGGACUUCAAUUCCCAAAAAUAUGAUCCAGAUAACCAAAGUUUGAUCAAAGACAGAGAGAAAAGUUUCAUUAUUUUUAUUGAUACCAAAUUUUGUCCAAGUCGAUAAAUCCAGAUUAGGCCAUACUUAGUCCACUAACAGAUCAACAAAUCAUGGCAUAAUGCCAAAUUUUGCAAUCAAUAUUAGAUUUUUUUUUUUAAAUUAUGCUGUUAUUCUUUGAUCUUUUCGCUAAAUUUAACUCUCAACCUUUCGUAAAAAUUAAAUUUGACCAUCAACCUUUUAAAAAUAGUCAAAUUAUUAUAUUUUUAAUGCAAUUAUUAACUAAAACGUUAAAAUUUUUAAUCAUGAUAGCCCGCAUAGCAAUUCACACGUCUUUCAUGCUAAUUUUAUAAAAAUUUCUAAACCUUUUUAUAACUUUUAUUUUAUUUUAUUUUUUAAAUAUUUUAUAACUAUGAAAUUAUUAGUUGACGUGGCAUAUUAAACAAAAAAAAGGCCAUGUCAUACCUAGAUUGCCACACCAACAUCAUAAAAAAAUUAAUGUUUUAAUCAACAUUUUCAUUAAAAAAGAUAAAUUGACACUUUUUAAAAGAUUAAUGACAAAUUUUAGUUCAAGUAAAAGAGCCCUAUUAAGAAAAGUUAAACGUUGAGGGCUAAAAUUGACAUUAUAUUAUAAAUCAACCUUUUGAACUUAAUUCAAGACUCAGUUAAAUUUUUGGGAUUAAAUUGAAAUUUCAAAUUAAACUAAGCCUUUGGUUAAAUUUUUCAAAAGUUAAAUCACAGCAAAAGUUAAAUUUGACUUCCUAAUCUCCAACCAUAGACCAAAUUUGUUGAAGUGUUCAGCUUAUUACAAUUUCUUUCAUAUAAAAUUUCACUUUUAGUUUUAUAACAGAUUAAUAAAAAUGCUCUUAACUUGUAAACUCAAACACUCAACUAUACUAUUUUAGUGUAAAAUCUUUUUCUUGUUUUGAAGAUAUUGUUUAGCAAUUGACAUUUAUAUUAUCUUAAAUAAUUUGAUGUAUUAUGAAUAAGAUUAUUUAUUUGAUGUAUUAUGCGUUCUUCUUAUUACACAAUUUUAUAAUUGUUCGACAUAGUCACUCAGUUGAACAAACCUCGCUCACAUCGGAUGACAGAAAGGAGCAAAGUUGCCUAUAUAGGAACUCGUCCAGCUGACCUGAAGAAAGUCACGAUCAUAUCAUGUUGCAUCUCACCACUGCAGCAAAAAUGAUGUUUAGCGGCAAUCCCUUGCGGCGUUUACAGAGAAAGUGUCGUGUCGGUGCUCAUGUAGUGGUGUUUGGAAAAAAAAAACGCCAUCAUAUGCGCAUGAUAUAGUGGUGUUUACCCAGAAAACACCGUUAAUUCACUCACGUCAGCCAGCGAAUUUCAACAUUGCAGCCGGUAACACAUUCGCACUAAAUAUUAUAUAUGUCACUGUUUCUCGAACAAUCACCAGGAAAUAUUUGAACUUAUGGUGGCGACCAAGUCUCAAAUGCUGUAAUUUAUACAAUUGAAAAAUAUAAUUAACUUUUAAAUUUUAAUUUGUGUAUAUUAGUGGCGGUUUAGUACAUGGGAGAUAAUCUCAUCACCUAUCCAAAAGAAGCCUAGGUGUAGUCAAAUAAACUAUAUUAAGCUCUAAUUACAUAUUUUAUUGUUUUGAGAGAGAGAUUAAAUGCUAACUAUAGACUAAUUAAAAUAGAUUAAAAUGGUUUCCCAAAAUAAAAUGGUACAUUUUGAAUAUAGAAACAAGUAUAAAAAAGUAAUAGGAAAUUAUAGUAUUUUAAUAAAGGUUAAAUAUAAAAUUGGUACUUGAAUUUGUUCACUUCUCUCAGAUUGGUACUUAUAACUUUUUUCUUGUCCUAGAUUGGUAUUCGAAUUUUUUUUUCUGUUAAUUAAAUAAGUACCUGAAUCUAAUGCCGUUAAGUUUAAGACAUGUGAUAAAAUAAGAUUGUGACAUGUGCCAUAAAUGAUGUCAUGGUGAUGUCAUAAUUUAAAAAUAUUUUAUAUUUUUUCUUUUGUCCCCCUUUGUUUGAUGUUCCUUUUUUUUUUUCCCAUUUUCUUUCUUCUUCUUCUUCUCUCUCAUCCCAAGUUUCUUCUUCUUAUUUGGCAAUGACAAUCAACAAUUUUUUUCCACCGGUUUUUUCCUUCCUCAACCUUAAAACCCUUCUCUUCUAUUUUUCUUUUUUCUAUUUGUUUCUCGAGAAAGAAAAACCUAGAUUUUCUAUUUUUCUUUUCUGCAUAUACACUUGGAGAGAUUGGAGGAAAGUUUUUUGCUGGUUCUGAUAACUAAUUGUGAAGAUUUCUUUUUUAUUUUGUUGAAGUUUGUGAGAAUUUGUAAGAAAAAUGGUGAACAAAGUUUAGGAUAUUUGGAACUACUGUUAUAUUUCGAUUCUCUUUUGGAAAUAAAUUUGUUUUUAUACAAUUUUUCUUAUGUGACAAAUACAUUUGGAAGAAAAAAGAGCUAUUUUGGCGAGAAAUUUCAACUGGUCACCUUUUCCUCCACUUUUUUAUUUGCUCUGAUUUAUUUUCAGAAACAUUAAUGCCUAAUCGUCACCUCUCUUUUCUCUCCCCCAUUAUACCCUCAAACCCCAACACCAAAACCCCCCAAUUCAUCCUUAACUUUCAUUGCAGCACCCUACAACAACCUUCUAACUCAAACUUAGUCCCCACUCAACAGUUCAAUUUAAACCCUCAAAACCCUUUUUAAAACAAGUUCCAUGUUUGCCCAAAACAAAACCUAUCAUCAUUCUCUAUAAACCCAAAAUGCCCCCUUUUCCAAACAUAUAUUGGAAAGGGUUUUGAUUAAACAGUGAGAACAAACAUAAAACAAAUAGGAAGAAGUAAUAAAGAAGCUUUAGAUUAAAAAAAAUUGAAAGUUUUUAAAAUUUGGAAAUCUGAGAAAAAGAGAAAUGAAGGAGAUGAAGUUGGAGAAACAAAAAAAUCGUUGACUGUCACUCCAGUGCCAUUUUUAGGCCGAAAAGAAGGCCAACCAUUGGCGACGAUGGAGGCAGCAACUUGGGUUGAGGGAGGAAGAAGGAAGAAGGAAAGAAAAAGGAACCUCUCAAAAAAAGGGGAGGAAAGUCGAAAGAAAAAACAGUUUUUUUUUAUUUUUUUUUAAAAUUACGACAUCACCAUGACAUCAUUUAUACCAUGUGACAUAAUCUUAUUCUGCCAUGUGUCAUAAACUUAACAGCGUACUCAAGUACCGAUUUAGUUGACGAAAACAAAUAAAAAAAACUACAAGUAUUAAUCUGGGAGGAGUAGAUAAAUUCAAGUACCAAUUUUAUAUUUAACCCUUUUAAUAAAUUUUCUUCUUUAUCUAAGACACUCAUUUAACUAAUUAAAAUCAUUGCAUAUUUUAUUGUGUGGUUAAAUAAUGAAAAAUAUUAAUUAUUUUUCUCAUAAAAUGUUAUAAUAAAAAUAGAGGCAAAUUCAUAUUUUUGUUCUUAAAAAUGGCGGACUGUGUGUCCACAAAGAAACUAGGGAGCAUUUUGAUAUAAUCCCAAUACAACUCUCGUCCAAUCGCCAAAAGUUUUAGAAGGCCUCCAAGUUGCCAAAAGAAAAAAAUUUGUUUUAGUCUGUUGUCAAGCUACACAGGGAAGAGGCUACAUGCACCUUGCUCCGGGUGUACCUUGAAAACGAUGGCUUGCGUCCAAGGCCAUUACUUGAGCGUGAUGGCCAACCAAAGUUGUUCAGAGGGCCAUCCCCAAGCGCAAUUGUUACCCAAAGUCCUUAGAAGGCCUCCGAGGGCCAUAUCUGUGGCCUUCGAGUAUCCAGACGACAAAUUUACCUAAGUUGUCAAGCUACGUUAGGAAGAGGCUAGACAACCUUUGCUCCCGGUCGUGAUGGCUGGCCAAAGUUGUUAGAAGGGCCAUCCAUGUUGAUUAUAUACUUUAAAAGUAAUUAACAAGGUUGUGGCUACUCUUCAUUAUUUCAAAAUUAUAUUGACAUCAAAUUUUAUGCAUAAAAAGUAAAUAAUAUGCAUAUAUCAAUAUAUGAUAAGUACACUUAAAUGAUACCUAUGGACAUUAAUACGAGAAUAACCCCUGUUUUACUUAAUUAUGCAUAAAAUCAAGCAUCAAAAUUAAACUGAUAAAAUUUAAAAAUUUCUAGAAUAUUUGAAACUUUGACAUUUGUUUAUUACUAUAGAAUGUUAAAUGAUAUUGUCGAAAUUGACAUUUUUAUGUGUUUUAUUUUGAUGAACUUUUGGGUACGAUGCUACUAAUUUUGGUAUUUAUUGUCUAAAUUUCUAUAUAUCUGUAGUGCAAGUACAAAUUAUGGAGAACAAGUAAAAAUAUGGAGUUACAUGAAAGAUUUGAGCAUGAGAGUAGUAAUUUGACGUACAAGGCUUUUAGAUUUUAGGAUGAUUUUAUUUUAAUAUUUAUUUUUAUUUAAAUAUUAUUUGUAAAGAUAUGUUAUUAAGAGUUUAAUCAAGAUUAAGUUUUAUCCCAUAUCUUUUAUUUAGAUAAUUAUUCAAUUUUAUCUUUUUGAGUUUGUUUAGGAAUAGAAUACUAAGUUAUUUGAUAAAUUGAAAAUCUAAAUGUUGAAAAAUUAAAUAGUAAAAAAUUAAGUAUUGAAUUUAAGUUAUAAAAUAUGUUUGGUAUAUUACUUAACUACAAAAUUUAAUUAGAUUAUUUAAUAUAUAAUAAUUUUAAAAAUUUUAAAGGUAAAAUAUUUAAAGGAUUAUCAAAUGUGCUUAAAAGUUAAAUCACUAAAAAUAUUAAUUUUUAGUUGAUUUAAUUUUUUCAAUGGACUAUGAGAAAAAGGGUAAGGUGUUAAUUCCAGCUUAAAAUCGUUGAAAACGUGGAUCAUAGCUUGAAUUUAUUUUCUUAAAAUAAAUUUUAUUUUAUGUGAAUUACAAUUUCUAUGGGUUCCUUUGGAGAUAAUUACUUUCCCAUUGAAAGUAAUAAAAUCAUUUUUUAUUCUGCGUUUGGCCUGCAUUGCUUGAGCCCACACUCGGCACAAUUUGGAGUACAAAGAUAGUAGAGAAAGUCAUUCGGAUGAAAGUCUUAAACGAUUCAAAUCUGUCUCGCUUAAAGCACAUACUUUUUAGGAAAAGUUUAUUGCUAUAUCUCAGUCUAGAUCGAAAAAGAACCGUUAAAUACUAGAUGGGACCCAAUGCAAUUAAUGCACCAUAGAAAAAAACACUUUUGGGAAUUCUGUUUGCUUCAGAUAAAUUUCAUUCAUGUUUAUUGGGCACUAAAGAUAUUGUUUUUUCUGAUCUUGCAACCUUGAAGUUUUUACUAAGCAAAACCGAGACUAAUCCGAUGGAUCCUUCUUCUUCAAGAAAUUGAUCUCGAAAUUAGAGAUAAAAGUGGCUGUGGAAACUCAAUGGCUGACCAUCUGAAAAUUGCCAGUUUUGAAGAUCGUUCACCUUUAAAGGACAAAUUCCUGGAUGAAAACCUCUUCUCCGUUCACAAAAUUUAUCCGUGGUAUGCAGACAUGAUAAAUUACCUAGUAACAGGUACACUCCUCACUAAAUUAACUCGAUCUGAAAAAGAUAAAAUUAAGUGAGAGCCUAGAUAUUAUAUUUGAGAUGAUCCAUACUUGUGGAAACACUAUCCAGAUAAGGUAAUUAGAAGGUGUGUGCCCGAAAUUAAGCUAAACUCCAUCUUAUCAUUCUGUGAUUCUUAUGCAUACGGUGACCAUUUUAGUCCUAAAUGAACUACUCAUAAAAUUUUAGAAUGUGGUUUAUUUUGGUUUGUGUUAUUUCGUGAUGCUUAUACAUUCUGCAAAACUUGCGAGAAAUGCCAAAGGUUAGUUAACUUAAGUCGAAGAAAUCUAAUUCCAUUAACCUCGAUUUAUGAUUGGAAAAUCUUUAACGUAUGGGGAAUAGAAUAUUUCAUGAGCCCUUUUAUGUCCCAUCCUCCUCCUUAAUAGCUCAUCUACAUGGGAGUAUUCCUAACUCCUUUACUUUUCAAUAUUUUCAAUUCCUUUUCAAUAUUUUCAAUUCCUUUACUGUAAUUUUUUUCAUUUUUGCUGCUAUUCUUGCAUAUCUACUAUUGAAUGUGCAACGCCCCGCUUAAUUUGUUUUUAUUUCUGUAAAUGCCUAACACAAAUUUGUAUUUGCUUCAGUGGUUAAAUAUUUUAGGUGUGUGUAUGAGGUCUUGAGUUCAAGUCUUAUAUUUGCAAAUUUUGUUAGUCCUAGCCUUAUCCUUCAUAGAUUGGGUUAUAUUCUGUUUUCGGUAAACUUACAUUAGAAUGAGCCUAUUGGUUCGAGUGGUAAGAAGUUAGGGUGUUGGAGGUCCCGUGUUUGAAUCUUUAUGAGAGUGAAGGUGUUAAUUUUUUGCUUUGUUAGCAUCAGAGUUUCAGUAGAGCUAAAAUUCUGAGGUGGUUGUGAGUUAGUGGGAGAAAAAUAAGGGGACAUGUUAUCAUAUCUGGGAUUUUUAUUUCUUUUUUUAAAUUUUUAGUUAUUUUUUUUCUUUUUUUAAAUUUUUAGUUUUUUUUCUCUUUCCCAAUAACAAUCUAACGUUAGUUUCUUUGUUCCCUGCCAUUUUUUUCCUCUCUUUUCCAGCAAUUUUAUCUCUUUUUAUCGUAUCUUCAUUUCUCGAUAUUUCGAUGUUUUUUGUACGACUCUGGUAAGUGAAUUUUGGUUUCUGUAACAUUUGAGUUAUAAAACACUGGUUAGAGUUAUACCUUACGUUUUGGCAAAUUAGUGAGUAAGUUAAGAGUUGUUUUAUGUAAAUUUGUGGUGUAAGAAAAGGUUGUGAGCAAGGAAGUUCUGCUUCGACAGCCUAAAUCAUGUUGGUGGCUGUUCAUGUUGUCAGUAAGUUCUGUGCAUUAUUUCGAGUCAUGUGUCGAUUCGUAAAUUGAUUGCUAAUUGGAGAAGGUAUGCUGUAUAGUAGGUUUCGGUGGGCUUGAGAUUAUUGUAGCAUCUUAACCGAACCAGGUCUGUGUCCCAAAAACGCAAAAAAUUGGGUUUCGAUGAAAGUCAAAAAUGCAUUCUAUCGACGCCACAUGGGCGUGUGCCUGGCCGUGUGGUUGGCUGUAUGCAAGACACAGCCGUGUGUUUGACGAAGGUGUGGUCGUACGUAAGGCACAGCUAUGUGAUGGUGUGAGUGUGGCCGUGUUGGCCACACGGGCUAGGCCAAGUUAAGCGUGUAGGCCCACAUUGGCGUAUGGGUUGUGGGUCAGGCCGUGUGGGCCACACGGGCAAGGCCAAUCUGGGUGUGUAGGCUACACGGGCGUGUGGGCCCAUAAUUCUAAAAUUUUCCCUAGGGUCGCACGGAUCGUCCAAUAGACUAUGGUCUGAUAUUCUGUGAGUUUGCUCUGAGUAGGACACUGUAAUGCAUGUCUGAUUAUUUUGCUAUAUAUUCUAGAUACCUAUAUGCAAGCAUGUUAAGCAUGAUAUUUUUGUAUUUAUAAUCUGUAAUUAUGUUUGGGGGUGGGAAUUGUAUAUGUGGAGGAAGUAUUAUGUACAGCGAGCUUCCGCCUAUAUUCUGGUAGCUUGACUGCAUAUUAUCUGUUAUGUGUCGUAUCGACACUAUAUGGUGUGUAGGGACGGGUGGGUUUUUAUAACCCCACAUGGUGUGAUGGGAUAGUCGAAGAUGGUAUGUAGAGAAUGGGGGUAGGAUUAUGUAUAUUUGUUCUGCAUAUCUAGUUAUGUUAUCUGUAUUUGCAAAGGACUUAUGUCCAAAUCUGAAUCUGACUGAAUAUGUGAUUUUUGUAUGUUUAGCAUGCCUAUUUCUGUUGGGUUACACAUUGAAUUUACGAAAACUCACCUCUAUUUGUCUGUUCUAUUUAGGUAAUCCACAGACUUAGGCGGAUUAGUGUGGCAGAGUCUCAUGGUGACCACAAGUUUGCGAACUAUUUUAAAUUAAUGAUUUUGUUUAAAUAUGGAUUAUUUCUGGGACUUUGUAAUUAAGGGACUCUCCGAAUUGUUUGGUUUUAUUUUGGGAUUUCCAUUUUAACUCUGUAUUUGCAAUGGUUAGAAGAAAAUAUGGUUUUUACUAAAACGAAAGCUUUCUGAAAGUAUGAACGGGAUUUUCAAAUAUAACGAUUUCUAAGACGUCCGCGAUAAAUUAUGUUUUUGCAAAAGAAUUGAUUAAUUAACUCUUUCAGUAAUAAUUGUAAACUUGAAUGAUUUUUCAAACAACUAUACAAAGCUUUAUCGAAAUGGCAUUGCUUUCAAAACCCUUCUUUGUAACAUCUCUAGAUUCAACUAUAACGUCUAGGCCGGGUUUGAGGUGUUAAAGAAUGGGCUGGGUUUUUUUUUUUUUGUCAUUUCGUGCCCAUGACUAGGCCUAUAAUCGUUAAAUGCCUUAUAUUCCGCUUCUUCGUUCAUGUUUAUAUCAUUUGACAUUGGUCUGAAAUUCUUCUAUCUUUACAUCUUAGUCAUAUAGAUGUAUUGUAAAUGAAUACUCUUGUUUUGCACUUGAAAUUUGGUGAUUGAUUGAAUGACGUUUGGAUACUUUUUGUUUGCUAAUGGUCACUCCAUGGAUAUUGGCGUUUUUUAAAACUUUUUUGGACACUGCUAUGUGACAAAUGUUUCUCAAUUUUCUUUCUUCUUGAAACAAAAAGAAAAAAAUUUGAGGAAGAGAGGUUGAAUAAUGAUGUUGGUGUCUUAACAAGUUUGGUAAUUGUUGAUUUUCAUGGAAAUUAAUUAAAGAUUGGAUGAAACGAUUGUGUGUACUUAAUUGGAAAAUAUUCACAUCUAUUGCUUGGAUUGGAAGUCUUAAGGGCUAUAAUUUUAUAUACAUUCCUUUUCUGGCUUUUGACUGGCAAUAGCAGGGGUUAAGCGUUCGGAUACCUUUAAAGCAUGAUGGUGAAAGUGUUGAAGAGAACGGGAGUAUUGGCCUUCAUUUGAUUAGUUGUUUUAUUUCUGCUGCUAUGUAUUCAGUUAAAGGGAUUUUGCAGAGUUAAUUUUAUUGGCUUUGGUAGAGUUCAUUGUAUGCUGCAAGUUUUUGAGACUAGAAUGACUUGGAUUCUCCAUGGCCUUUUUCUGUAUUUGUUAAUGGUUGAGAAAAAAAAACAAUACCAAGUGUUAAUUUCAUUUUAAAAAGGUCGAAAACGUGGAUCAUAGACGGCUUUAAUUUCAAUUUCAGAAUAGACCCUUUGGUUUUCUUCUUCAUCUUGCGCCAUUGACCUUGCUACCAUUCUGCCAAGUUUCUUUCUUUUUAUUAAAUCCUAUUUAUUUUUAUUUCCUUUAUUUAUUUAAGGUUGAUCAAUUUCGGUGUUUGAGUUGUGAGACACGAAUCUAUAUUUAAUCCUUUUUACUUUAUCAUUCGAUUUUUUUUCUGCAUCAAAGAUAGAUAGGAUCAUCUCACAAUAUUCUUUUCGGCAUUAUUUCGAGAAAGGCCCUUGUACGGUGUUGAAAAUAAUUCAUAGUUGGUAAAAAUUAGUUUGAUUCGUAAUUGUCAAAAAAACAAGUUGACGUGAUUCAAUUAAGAGUGCAGUUUGGUGACACCACGGGAAUUAGUAAUCUUAUUAAUUUAAAUGAUCCAUACAAUUUAGAUAAUUAAUUAUAGUUGGGUUGUUUUAAUUUGCAAGGCUAUCAAGGAAUAAAUCCUAAAAGAUACUUUCUGGGUUAUUUGCUCAAUAAAAGUUAAUUGUAGGGUUGUUCUCACCAUUAAUUUACUGUUAAAACUAAAUUGAUGAUCUAAUCAACAUGUGAGAAGACAUUGGUAGUAUGUGAAUCCAUUUUUAAACCCAAGUUUAUUUUAUUUAAUUUCAUGUCCACACUUUAUUUACUAUUUUAUUUCUCGAGAUAUUAAUUAUAUCAAACAAACAUUUGUUUGCAGAAGAUAAAAUAAUUUAUAAAAUCAGCACAUCAAUCACAUGUAAUAUAUAAUAUCAAAUAAAUUAAAAGUCAAUGGUCAAUAUUCAGACGAAAACAGAAACACUGGGGGGAGGAAACUUCCAAUCUAAAAUAAUUAGACCAAGAUUCUGUUGCGUGAUCAAGAUUUGUGUUCUUUUUAAUAUUACCACGGACAAAUCAAUCAUGUAUUAUAUAAAAUGUUUGGGACAAUAAAUUAUUUUCAUGUCUGCGGGUUUUCUCACUAUAAACCUUUCUGUUUUCUUAAUAAAAUUGAGGUAACAAUUCUAUAGUUUCAUCUACAUUUCGCCCCAGAAAUUAUAGUAAAACAGAGACAAUGAAAGGAACAUUGAUGAUGAGUUGGAUUCUGAUCAUCUGCCUCUCCCAAGUAGCAGUGCGGAGCCAAUACUACUCAGAUACCCUACCAUAUCAUCCCAGGCCACCUAAGGUCACCAAUCUUCACUUCUUUAUGCACGAACUUACGGGUGUUACAGCAGUCGUGCUAACCCAAGCUAACAUCACAAGCAAUAAUUCAUCAGUGCCAUUUGCUACCCUAGUUGCUGUUAAUGAUCCCCUCAGGACUGGCCCUGAGCCUGACUCAGAGGUGAUUGGAAAUGUUCAGGGUAUUUCCCUUUUAGCCGGAUCAAAUGCAUCGAGCACGCAGUACAUAGAAUUUGGAUUUAAUACCGGUAAGUUUAACGGCAGCUCUCUAAGCGUAUUUUCAAGGGGAGAACCAGGGCUUGCGGUGGUCGGAGGAAGAGGG
Molecule: long non-coding RNA, 11459 nt
Filed under: Gossypium raimondii (Peruvian cotton)
Lineage: Eukaryota; Viridiplantae; Streptophyta; Magnoliopsida; Malvales; Malvaceae
Description: long non-coding RNA (GRAI_LNC007867)
Source: RNAcentral